RNAcentral lists this ribosomal RNA (1092 nucleotides) under Mawia benovici. RNAcentral describes it as "partial 28S ribosomal RNA". It matches the Rfam family "Eukaryotic large subunit ribosomal RNA", at positions 48 to 934 of the family's 3401-position model. Lineage: Eukaryota; Metazoa; Cnidaria; Scyphozoa; Semaeostomeae; Pelagiidae. The record is from RNAcentral.
UAGCGAGAAAAGAACUUACAAGGAUUCCUUCAGUAACGGCGAGUGAAGUGGGAAUAGCUCAAGCUUAAAAUCUCUGUUGCUUGCAACAGCGAAUUGUAGUCUCGAGAAGCGUUUUCCCGGUGGACCUUUCCUGUCUAAGUUGCUUGGAACAGCACAUCAGAGAGGGUGACAAUCCCGUUCGUGACAGGAAAGGCUAUCAACGAUACGCUUUCCAUGAGUCGGGUUGCUUGGGAAUGCAGCCCAAAAUUGGUGGUAAACUCCAUCUAAAGCUAAAUAUUGGCACGAGACCGAUAGCGAACAAGUACCGUGAGGGAAAGAUGAAAAGAACUUUGAAAAGAGAGUUAAAAAGUGCGUGAAACCGUUAGAGGGGAAACGGAUGCAGUUAGCAAUGCCUCAGCGAGAUUCAGGUGGACGCCUGGUCAGACGUGUAGUGUAUGGAUCCGCAUGGACUGUCGCUGUUCGGCCUGACCUUGUGAUCAUCGCACUUCUCGUUGGGGCGCGUCAACAGCUGCUCUGUCUGAGUGACAAGGCGUCCAGGAAGGUAGGCGCGUGCUUCGGCAUGUGCUGUUAUAGCCUGUGGCGAUACUAGCUCGGACGGGGCAGAGGCGAGCGGUGCAUGCUCUUCUUCGGAGGGGCUGGCGACCUUCUCUUGAUCUUGUGUCGACCAUGGCGGACUGCUUGCAGUGCGUCUGAACUGCUCGAGGUCAUUCGGGAGGCCAACGCACACUAUGCACCUCGGUUGUUGGCGGCCAUAUGGCUUCAUCUGACCCGUCUUGAAACACGGACCAAGGAGUCUAACAUGUGCGCAAGUCUUGGGGUGACUGAAACCCGAAGGCACAAUGAAAGUAAAGGCUGCCUAGCAGCUGAGGUGAGAUCUUCGUUCUACGCGUGCGAGGCGCAUCAUCGACCGACCUAUUCUACUCUUAGAAAGGUUUGAGUAAGAGCGCAUCUGUUGGGACCCGAAAGAUGGUGAACUAUGCCUGAGUAGGGUGAAGCCAGAGGAAACUCUGGUGGAAGCUCGUACCGAUUCUGACGUGCAAAUCAAUCGUCGAACUUGGUAUACGGCGAUAUCGCAAAACACACCCGGGGUAA